AGUCUGUUUCAGGGCGAGGUGUAAGUCCUCACCGGUGGUGAUGCGUAAAAGCGAUAAGUCCACGAGCCGAAAGGCCGAUCUGGUUAGAAUCCAGAACCGACGGUAUAGUCCGGAUGAAAGAAAUGGCGU
This is a non-coding RNA of Acetobacterium wieringae, 129 nucleotides long. NCBI's taxonomy places the organism in Bacteria, Bacillati, Bacillota, Clostridia, Eubacteriales, Eubacteriaceae. The record is from Rfam.